GGUUUGUUGGUCUAGCGGUAUGACGUUUCCUUUACAACAGCUUUAUGCAAGGUGUUCGUUUCGGAAAAGGUCCUGGGUUCGAGCCCCUGACAGAUCA
This 97-nucleotide transfer RNA is filed under the name Gomphillus americanus. It matches the Rfam family "tRNA". From Rfam's summary of the family: Transfer RNA (tRNA) molecules are approximately 80 nucleotides in length. Their secondary structure includes four short double-helical elements and three loops (D, anti-codon, and T loops). Lineage: Eukaryota; Fungi; Ascomycota; Lecanoromycetes; Ostropales; Graphidaceae. The record is from Rfam by way of RNAcentral.